AAUAAUUUAAAUAUAACCCAGACUCAGGGGGGAAUCGAAGCCGCAACCCGAGGAACAGAAAGCAGGGCCACUACAAACUGC
Melitaea cinxia (Glanville fritillary) is the source of this 81-nucleotide long non-coding RNA. RefSeq lists it as uncharacterized. The record is from RefSeq and is a predicted model, not a curated record. NCBI's taxonomy places the organism in Eukaryota, Metazoa, Arthropoda, Insecta, Lepidoptera, Nymphalidae. The transcript has 3 exons.